RNAcentral lists this ribosomal RNA (994 nucleotides) under uncultured Pseudoalteromonas sp. RNAcentral's name for it is "bacterial SSU rRNA". It matches the Rfam family "Bacterial small subunit ribosomal RNA", at positions 335 to 1316 of the family's 1533-position model. Lineage: Bacteria; Pseudomonadati; Pseudomonadota; Gammaproteobacteria; Alteromonadales; Pseudoalteromonadaceae. The record is from RNAcentral.
ACUCCUACGGGAGGCAGCAGUGGGGAAUAUUGCACAAUGGGCGCAAGCCUGAUGCAGCCAUGCCGCGUGUGUGAAGAAGGCCCUCGGGUUGUAAAGCACUUUCAGUCAGGAGGAAAGCGUGGUGGUUAAUACCCAUCAUGUGUGACGUUACUGACAGAAGAAGCACCGGCUAACUCCGUGCCAGCAGCCGCGGUAAUACGGAGGGUGCGAGCGUUAAUCGGAAUUACUGGGCGUAAAGCGUACGCAGGCGGUUUGUUAAGCGAGAUGUGAAAGCCCCGGGCUCAACCUGGGAACUGCAUUUCGAACUGGCAAACUAGAGUGUGAUAGAGGGUGGUAGAAUUUCAGGUGUAGCGGUGAAAUGCGUAGAGAUCUGAAGGAAUACCNGNAUGGCGAAGGCAGCCACCUGGGUCAACACUGACGCUCAUGUACGAAAGCGUGGGGAGCAAACGGGAUUAGAUACCCCGGUAGUCCACGCCGUAAACGAUGUCUACUACAAGCUCGGAGCCUCGGCUCUGUUUUUCAAAGCUAACGCAUUAAGUAGACCGCCUGGGGAGUACGGCCGCANNAGGUNUAAAANCUCAAAUGAAUUGACGGGGGCCCGCACAAGCGGUGGAGCAUGUGGUUUAAUUCGAUGCAACGCGAAGAACCUUACCUACACUUGACAUACAGAGAACUUACCAGAGAUGGUUUGGUGCCUUCGGGAACUCUGAUACAGGUGCUGCAUGGCUGUCGUCAGCUCGUGUUGUGAGAUGUUGGGUUAAGUCCCGCAACGAGCGCAACCCCUAUCCUUAGUUGCUAGCAGGUAAUGCUGAGAACUCUAAGGAGACUGCCGGUGAUAAACCGGAGGAAGGUGGGGACGACGUCAAGUCAUCAUGGCCCUUACGUGUAGGGCUACACACGUGCUACAAUGGCGCAUACAGAGUGCUGCGAACUCGCGAGAGUAAGCGAAUCACUUAAAGUGCGUCGUAAUCCGGAUUGGAGUCUGCAACUCGAC